This 309-nucleotide ribosomal RNA is filed under the name uncultured bacterium. Its description in RNAcentral is "bacterial SSU rRNA". It matches the Rfam family "Bacterial small subunit ribosomal RNA", at positions 28 to 337 of the family's 1533-position model. The record is from RNAcentral.
GAUGAACGCUAGCGGGAGGCUUAAUACAUGCAAGUCGAGGGGUAACAGGGGCUUCGGCCCGCUGACGACCGGCGCACGGGUGAGUAACGCGUACGCAACUUACCUCCAAGCGAGGGAUAGCCCUGGGAAACUGGGAUUAAUACCUCAUGUGAUUAUGAUGCCGCAUGGUGUUAUAAUUAAAGUUCAGGCGCUUGGAGAUGGGCGUGCGUCCUAUUAGCUAGUUGGUGAGGUAACGGCUCACCAAGGCGACGAUAGGUAGGGGCGUGAGAGCGUGGCCCCCACCACGGUACGUGAGACGACGACCGGACC